RNAcentral lists this microRNA precursor (158 nucleotides) under Citrus sinensis (sweet orange). Lineage: Eukaryota; Viridiplantae; Streptophyta; Magnoliopsida; Sapindales; Rutaceae. The record is from RNAcentral.
GUGUGUAUAUAUAUGAAAGGGUAGCCGUGAUAUUGGCCUGGUUCACUCAGACAAACCGGUUUAUUUGCUUUUAUUAGAGCAAAGUUCCAGGUUUUUUUGUUUUGGUUUGAUUGAGCCGUGCCAAUAUCUCGUUUCUCUUUCAUUUUUCCAAGACUCAC